UUUCCGUAGGUGAACCUGCGGAAGGAUCAUUAAAAAAUUGGACUCCAUUGGUGAGUUCAUUAAUAAUCCCUACCCUUUGUGAAUUUGUUUGUUCGAAUAACUUUUUUCCAAAAAAAAUUAUUGAAUGUCUUUCCUUGUUUUGGUGGAGCUUGUAAAGUGAAACCAGGCAGGGGAAUGGCAGACAAUAAUUAUUUUUGAAAAAGACCUUUUUUUAAAAUUAAACUUUUUGUAUUCAUUUGUCUAAAAUUAAUUUUAUAAUAUAAAAACAACUUUUGACAAUGGAUCUCUUGGUUCUCGCAACGACGAAGAACGCAGCAAAAUGCGAUAAGUAGUGUGAAUUGCAGAAUACGUGAAUCAUCGAAUCUUCGAACGCAUAUUGCACUUUUUUAGUUUACUAAAAAAGUAUGUCUGUUUGAGUAUCAGUAAAAUAUUCUCAUAAAAAACAUUGUUUUUUUUAUGGUUAUGAGUGUUUUACAACGAUAACAAGUUGUUUCACUUUAAAUUCUUUGUUAUCAAAAAAAUCAUUAAAAGCUAAUUUUAAAGAUUUUUAAAAUUGGAUAAAAUUUUCCCGUAAAAAGGAAUAACCUAAACAAUUUUAAAAAAUUAAAAUUGGUUUGAUUUUUUUUGAAACCCAAAGGAAAAAAAAACGAAAUUAACUUGAUCUCAAAUCAGAUAAGAGUACCCGCUGAACUUAAGCAUAUCAAUAAGCGGAGGAAAAGAAACUAACUAGGAUUCCCUCAGUAACGGCGAGUGAAGCGGGAAGAGCACAAAUUUGAAAUCUUCAAGGUUUUACCUUGACGAAUUGUAGUUUAAAGAAGUGUUUUCUGUUGGAGUUUUGGUAAAAGUUCUUUGGAAAAGGACAUCAUAGAGGGUGAGAAUCCCGUAUUUGACCAUUAUCUCCAGCUUUGUGAUACACUUUCAAAGAGUCGGAUUGUUUGGGAAUGCAGUCCAAAAUGGGUGGUAAAUUUCAUCUAAAGCUAAAUACUGGCGAGAGACCGAUAGCGAACAAGUACCGUGAGGGAAAGAUGAAAAGAACUUUGAAAAGAGAGUUAAACAGUACGUGAAAUUGUCAAAAGGGAAGCGUUUGACACCAGUGUUGUUUUCUCGAAAAUCAAUUAAGAAAGGCCGGAUUUUGUGUUGUAUUGACUUUAUCAGCUUUCUGCACUCUUUUCUUGUCUUUUUUAAUGCACUUUUCGUUUAACAAGUCAACAUCAAUUUCUUUUGUUGUAAAAGGGUCAUUGGAAGGUGGCUUUCUUUUCGGAGAAAGUGUUUAUAGCCUUUGGCCUCUGCAAUCGGAGAGAUUGAGGUCUGCAGCGUAGAUCCUUCGGGGUUAGAUACAUUUGUGCUAGGUUAUAGCCUUUCAUAGACAACUUGUUGACUAUGAUCAGUCAUGUAGCUUACUCGCUUAUGCUAUUUUACCUACGCUUAGGAUGUUG
RNAcentral lists this unclassified non-coding RNA (1436 nucleotides) under uncultured Neocallimastigales. RNAcentral describes it as "partial contains small subunit ribosomal RNA, internal transcribed spacer 1, 5.8S ribosomal RNA, internal transcribed spacer 2, and large subunit ribosomal RNA". The stretch from base 659 to 1436 matches the Rfam family "Eukaryotic large subunit ribosomal RNA", at positions 1 to 628 of the family's 3401-position model. The record is from RNAcentral. Lineage: Eukaryota; Fungi; Neocallimastigomycota; Neocallimastigomycetes; Neocallimastigales.